Molecule: long non-coding RNA, 263 nt
Filed under: Elaeis guineensis (African oil palm)
Lineage: Eukaryota; Viridiplantae; Streptophyta; Magnoliopsida; Arecales; Arecaceae
Description: long non-coding RNA (EGUI_LNC061071)
Source: RNAcentral
GGCACACAUAUAUUAUUAACAAUCAUCAUGGGUGUAUGAGAAUUAUUAAGUAUGACACUACAUAUGUCAUAGUCUUGUACUUGAAUAAAAAUUUUUAUCCUAAUUUUUCAAUAAGUGUAAUUAGUGCCAUUAAAAAAAGAAGGUCUAAUAGCUGAGUGUCCUUCACCCAACAAACAACCAAAUGGGUCAGCCAUAAGAUCUUUAACUCUAAAAAAUUAGAGCACCUGCUCUGAUACCAAUUAUUUCCUAGUAAUGGCUACCCA